Sinocyclocheilus rhinocerous is the source of this 455-nucleotide long non-coding RNA. RefSeq lists it as uncharacterized. NCBI's taxonomy places the organism in Eukaryota, Metazoa, Chordata, Actinopteri, Cypriniformes, Cyprinidae. The transcript has 3 exons. The record is from RefSeq and is a predicted model, not a curated record.
AAAGCAUUUACUGCGGUUACAUAGAUGUUCCCAUGUGUGAAACGUUCACCACUCUUUUGGAUUUCAUAAACUUUAUGAACGGACGACCUGUGAGGAAGAUCUUUUGUGACCUGCAGGACUCCACUCUCACUGUUUGUACUGAGUGAGUGAUCCAUCUCCUCCUCUUCAAGCCAAUGCAACUUACUGUUUAAACCUCUCAGAGCACUAAACACUAAAACCACAGCUAACACUUGCUCUCCUCCAAUCUAAGCUGUUUAUAUUCAUCAGCACCCAAAGAGGACGAGAGGGAUGGAGAUGAGAGUGAAGUGGCUGUAUUGGAUUUUGCGGAGUGGAGCCUCAAUAACAGGAAUGGAUUUAUGGAUGUAAUUCGAUUGGUGGGAAUAAAGGCCAUCAGCCCACUGAACCACAGACACUCUGAUGAUGAGCUUGAAUCAGCCUGUAAGCAAUCAUACACA